UAGCAAAGCUGGUGUGUUUAAAUUUGUAGAUUGUCAGUCUUUUGGCUCUGGAGUAGGGACAAGUACAAACAUAAAAACCAGUUUUUCAGUGAAUACCUUUUUUGGAGAAAAAGAAGGCAGCGUGGCAUGGGUGUGGGGUAAUGGACAGGCUCUGUCUGGGAGCCAGGGAUUUGUUCUGGGCACCUUUGGGGGCUGCAGCAGCCUCCACCAUCCUCUCUGUAGCCCCCCUGGUGAUGGUCGGCUCAGAUAGGCACCUUGAGCUGUUUCCAAUCUCCUGGUUUCAUUUUCAGUUGCAAAGAAUUCCCUGGAAAAUGACAAAGUUAAAAAUGCAGAUGGGGAAUUCCUCCAGGAGAGCUUCUUGGGAAAAAAAAAAAAAAGCAUCCCUUUUUCCUUACAAAGUCUGAACUGUAAAACUCCCCCUUCCUCUGACUCAUGUUUCAUUGUAACAGCGGAACAGAACUAUUCUUCAGAAAUGUUGUUCAUGGGUUGCGUUUAUUUUCAGGGUCUGUUUAAACUGUAAGACAGAGUUGAUGAGAAUUUAUUAUUUUGAAAUGAUCAGAAAGGUCAUGAUAUAAUUUUUAUAUUUAACCCAAGAUGCAUGGUAUGAAAUGAAGUACAGAGUGGGUCACAGUUUGAGAGCUGCUUUAAGGCUUUCCUUGAAGAGAGCUUCCCUCAACCACGCUGACCGUCACCGGCCACAGAGAGCCGCAGUUGCAGGUAGUCCUCCCAUGAAUGGGUUGUGACUGGUUCUACCUAAAGACUCUCUUCUGGGCUCAGCAAUCUUCAGGGAAGAUGGACUCCAGGACCUGAGAGUGGAGGAAAGAAUGCCAAGUCCAGGCAGAGAGAGAGAGAGAGAGCGAGCAGGGAAGAGGGGCAGAGGCAGAGGGAGAAGCAAACGCACCGUUGAGCCGGGAUCCCGAUGCGGGGCUCCAUCCCAGGACCCUGGGAUCAUGACCUGAGCCGAAGGCAGACGCUAAACAGACUGAGCCACCCAGGCGUCCCUGCAUCUUAGUUUUAAUGGAAAACAGUAAUAAAUGCCUUACCACUGCCUUAGUCAGCUCGGGCUGCCAUCACAAAAUACCACGGAUGGUGUGGCUUAAGCAACAGAAGUUUAUUUUUUCAGUUUGGGAGGCUGGAAGUCCAAGAUCAAGGUUCCAGCUGCUUUGGUUUCUGUGGCAAAAGAUCGGAAACAAUUCAGUUGUCUAUUACUGUGGAACUGGCCAAAUCAAUUGUGAUGUGUCAAUACAACAGAAUGCUAAACAAUAAUAUGCUGCAGUAUAAAGGAAGAGGGAAGACUCUAUGUAUUGGUAUGGAAAGACUGACAAGUCCUUGCUUAAAUGGAAAAUAAAACAAGAUGCAGAACAGGAGUGCAUUACCUUUUGUGAAAAACAAGGAGGAAAAAAUGUGUAUUCAUAUGUGCUUGUAUUUGCAUGAAGGGACUCUGAAGAAUAUUCUCAGAUUCUGAUAAAGCGGUUACCGUUUUAGAGAGCUGAGCAGGGAUGGUGUGGGAAUAAAGAUGUUUCACUCUGUAACUCUGAAGAUGGUUUGAUUUUUUGAAACCUGUAAAUGUUUUACCUAUUCAGAAAAAUUGAAAAAAAUUCUGAGCAUUUCCAAUGCUUUUUCCUCCCGCCUGCCUGGGGAGCAGUGGUUAGAACACUUCUGUAGACUCAUUUAUCAUUUAUAUAGCACGUGUAUUGCCUCUUGCCAGAGGCGGGAGGGACAGCUCAUAAUGGGAAAGAGCAUGCCUGGAUUUUGGGGUCAAACCUGGAUUCCUGUUUCGGACCUAUUGCUUACUAGCUGUGUGAUCAAGGCAAAUACUCUGUCUCUGAGCUCUGUUUCUUCACUUGGAAAAUGAGGAUGCAUGUCAAUUUCCAAGUGUUUGAAGAAUAAAUCAGGUGUUAGUAUCAUGCUUAGCGCAGUGGAUGGCAGCUCCUAAGUACUCCCUAAGUGAUGGCUAAUAUGAA
Molecule: long non-coding RNA, 1964 nt
Organism: Mirounga angustirostris (Northern elephant seal)
Lineage: Eukaryota; Metazoa; Chordata; Mammalia; Carnivora; Phocidae
Exons: 4
Source: RefSeq, a predicted model, not a curated record